Molecule: ribosomal RNA, 270 nt
Filed under: uncultured bacterium
Lineage: Bacteria
Description: partial 16S ribosomal RNA
Rfam family: Bacterial small subunit ribosomal RNA
Source: RNAcentral
AAUCAACGCUGGCGGCGUGCCUAACACAUGCAAGUCGAACGAGAAAGUGGAGCAAUCCAUGAGUAAAGUGGCGACCGGGUGAGUAACACGUGACUAACCUACCCUCGAGUGGGGAAUAACGCCGGGAAACCGGCGCUAAUACCGCAUAACAUCGCAAGAUCAAAGCAGCAAUGCGCUUGAGGAGGGGGUCGCGGCCGAUUAGUUAGUUGGUAGGGUAACGGCCUACCAAGACGAAGAUCGGUAGCCGGCCUGAGAGGGCGCACGGCCACA